CCGGCAGCGGUUUCCCGUCAACCUCCGGGGCAUCCCGGCUUCCGGUUUGGGUGUGGCCGCGGGGCGGGGUGUGCUCCAGGUGUCCCAACAGUCUGUUGGCUUUGCGACCCGGACCUGACAGAAGUGCGUGGAACCAAAACUCUAAAGUUAGGCGUCGAGUUUGGGGCCGCAGCCAAGCGUGCAGGAUUCUGCUGGCCUGCGAGAUGAUGAAAUUACUUUGCAGAUCUCUAAGAGUCUCAUGGCAGGCUGAGGAACCUCCUUUUGUUGUAUGAAAACCGAAGGGUAGGGGUAGUUAGCUCCAGAUUUCCGUUCUGGGGUCUAAAAGACAUUGCAGCUUUAAUAACUUUGGCCGUUUAUCUCGUAUGAGAGGCUGUCACGGAUUUAAUAGAAUCUUGUGAGUUUUCUACCUAUAAAGUCCGUUCCCUUCUUGCAGCAUUUAUCACCUCCUGGUUUGUGUUUGGUUGUCAACAACAUGAUGGCUUGGAAGAACACUGUGGGACUCUGCAUUAGAACAGUCAGCUGGUGCCUUGAUUUUAACCUUAUGAGAUCCUGAGCACCUAUGCUAUGCCUUGAAUUCUGACCAGCAGAACUAGUGUCUUGGCUUUCCAUGCCUGAAAUAUAGAUAUGGUUUGAGUGAGGUAUGGCCUGCGGGAAGUCCUUAGGAUGCUGCCCUUGGAAUGGAUCAAGAUGGCUGUCACGGGACCCCUGAGCUUUCGUGAGAGCAUGUCUCUGUAUUUGUAUGCUUGAAAAUACACAACAAUCCUGGAUCUCUAUGUAACUCAAGGAGAAGCCUAUAAACAUCAACUUCCAAGCCUUUGAAACACUCAUCAACAAAAACAGAAACCAUGGCCAAGAUCCAAUAUUUUCUGAGUAAUCAUAAUGUCUUACUAUUGCAAUUUUCCAGGAUAAUUUACAAUAAAUGAAUUAGCUGCUUUCUAUAUUACCCUUUAUCACUUUAUGCUUUAAGGUGCAUGGGUACUUAGUGCUCUUCCUUAGGGGGCUAUAAAUGCACAACUUUUUAUUUCCUUUAUAUAAUAUUAAAUUGUUAGCAGUUUAAUGUCAAUUUAUUAAUUAUUCUCACUUCUUAUUUGCUCUUAUGUUUCUCACAGGUAUAAUUCUAAUUUAUCUGAUUUGUAGGGACAGUCCUUCUUGUUCCUUAUGGAACAUAAAAGGACAUAUCAUAUAACUGUUUAUUUUAAACAUUUUGUCCAACCACAGGUGUCACUCUGAACUUAUCUCCUGGGUCAAAUAACAAUCUAAAACCAAACUAAAUAUAGACAUUUGGAAUCUAAUUCUGAUGUCAUUAAGGUCAUAUGAUGCUCUUUUUCACUGAAAACGUGAACUAAAAAUUAUUUUAAUUUUACUUUAUCCUGAUUCACAAAAUAAUCUUUAGUUCUAUGUAACAAAUGUCUGUAAUUCUUUACCACAGGAAAUUUUUCUUCCCAUUCUUAUGUUGCCAUUAAUUAAUUCCCUUAAUAAAUGUCUGUUAGUCCAGAUAAUAUGCCCGACAGACCACAAGGUCCUGCUCCUACCCAUGCUAUUUAUAUUCCAGUAGGAGAGAAUGCCUCUUUGAAGUGAGACCUUAAUGACAAGGAGGGAGUCAUGCUAAGAACUGGGAGAGGAACAUUCCAGGAACAAGAAACAUCACUGCAAAAGCCCUGAUCAAGAUGGCUUCAAUAGUUCCUUCAGCAUCGUUAUAUCUUAGGUUGGCUUCUUCCUGACUCUUGGCUCUCCUCUGUCUUUUCUUAGAGCAUUUACGUCACAAAACUUGCAGUUGUGAAUUCCUUUCUCUUUUCUUUGGAGUUAUAUGUGAAUCUUUGAAGACUAUCUUGUCACUUUACAAUCACAAAAAUGACUUUCCUGAGGACCUGAAAGCUAUCUUUUUGAACUGUAACCAUCAAAGGAGAUGACCUUCCUACUUCCUGGUUUCUCUGGGAGGGUGGGAAGAUAACUUCAGUGGGUAACUUGUCAGAAGUUGUAAAACCACCUCUUGUUAUUAAGAAACAGAUAUCUGUUUUCCUUUGGGUAAAGCCUAAGCUAUUCCUCUUACCCAAGCAUUUAAAAAUCCUACCUACAUAUGGCCUAAGUUCUUCCUUUCCACCCAUGCAUUUAAAAACCCUGCCUCCCUCUGUUUCAGCAGAGUUAAGGGUUCUGCCAUCUCUCCCUUAUUGCAAAAAAUAGCCUUGAAGAAAGUCUUCCUUGUCUGUUUAACUUUACUCAGUGCAGCUUUUACAUUGACAGCCCUGUGGUGGGUACACGCUAAUUGUUUUAGUGGGGAAAUAGUAGCAGAUCAGUGUAUAUUAUAAAUUUGUGAGUGAAGAUGAUAGUGAGAUGAGGUCAGGUAGAGAGAGAGGCAAGGACCAGGUCAGGUAGGGUCAAGUGUAUUACAAUAGGGAGCUUGGAAUUUGUGGGAAACUGUCGGAGACAUUAUACAGGGAACAACAUACUUUUGCAUCUCAUUUUGGCUGCUCUGUGGAGAAUUGAUAUUCGUGGAAUAGGAGCAAAGGCUGAAGGUUAGAGAAGUUGAUACAGUAAUUUAGGUAAAACCAUUUGGGUUCAUAUUAUAGCUUUAUUAUUUACUAAAUGUGUUAGGCAUCUUUCCAAGGUCAUAGCUGGUGUUCUUAUAUGCCUGGCAAAUACUUAGCCUAUCUUUUGCUUUAGUGUCUGAAAGAUGGGAAAUAUAUGUGAACUAUACAUGAUUAUAAAAUAUGGAACUAAUAUACACAAGUUAUUCAGGAUUGUUUUCAUGUUGAAUGAGCUAAUAUAAAUGAAGUAUUUACAACCACUGUUAAAUUACACAUUAAUAAAAUCUGCUUCUCCAAAUACAAUGAUCUAAAUAUUUUAUCCUAUUUUUAAGUAUAUCCAGAAGACUUUCCAGUUGUAUCUCAAGAAUAUAACCAAAUACAACAUCCUUUUGGGAUAAAAUCCUUAGGCAAAUUAGGGAUAGAAGGAACAUAUUUAAACACAAUCAAGGCACUAUAUGACAGACUCAUAGCCAGCAUCAUAUUGAAUGGGGGGAAAGCUAGAAGCAUUUCCACUCAGAUCCAGAACAAGUAAAGGAUGCCCACUUUUACCAUUACUACUCAAUAUAGUUGUGGAAAAUUUAGCCAGAGCCAUUAGGCAAGAAAAAGAAGUCAAAGGGGUGCCAAAGGAAAAGGAGGAAGUCAAUUUAUUCCUGUUUGCAAAUGACAUGAUCCUAUACAUAGGGAAGCCAAAAAACUCCACUAAGGGUCCAUCAGAACUCAUAAGAGAAUUUGGCAAGGUUGAAGGAUAUAAAAUCAACACACAAAAAUCAAUAGCAUUGUAUAUGCAAACCAUGCCAUGGCUGAGAAAAAACUUGUAAGAUCAGUCCCAUUCACAAUAGCUAAAAAAAUUUAGAUACCUUCAGAUAAAUUUAACCAAGGAUGUAAAAGAUCUCUACAAUGGAAAUUUCAAAAUAUUAAGGAAAGAAAUAGAAGACACACACAAAAUGGAAAAAUCUUCCUUAUUCAUGGAUUGGAAGAUUUUAAUAUCAUCAAAAUAUUCAUAUUACCUAAAAUAAUUUACAGAUUAAAUAUGAUUCCAAUCAAAAUACCAAGGGUAUUUCUUCUCAGAUCUAGAAAAAUUACCCUAAAAUUCAAAUGGAAACACAAGAGACCCUGAAUGGAUAAAGCUAUCUUAAAUAGCAAAAACAAAGGCUGAGAUAUCACAUUACCAGAUUUCUAGACAUAUUACAAGGCAGUUGUAAUCAAAAUGGCCUGAUAGAUAGUGGCACAAAAAUAGACAUGUAGACUAAUGGAACAGAUUAGAAUUCCAGAAAUUAAUCCAUGCAUCUACAACUGACUAAACUUUGACAAGCAAGCUAAAAUUACUCCUGGGGGAAAGGACAGUCUCUUCAAUAAAUUGUGUUGGGUAAAUUGGAUCUUUACAUACAGAAGUAUGAAAUAAGACCCCCUACUUUAUACCUGUACAAAAAUCAACUUACAGUGGAUCAAGGAUAUAAGCCUAAACCGGAACCCAUCAACUUGCUAAAUAUAGGGGAAAUCCUGCAAGACAUUGGCGUAGCCAAUGAUUUCUUGAAUAAGACCCCAGAAACAGGGCAAUCAAAGCCAAAAUAGACAAAUGGGAUAACUUCAAGCUAUGAAGCUUCUACAUAACAAAGAAAACAACAACAAAAUAAAAAGGCAACCUACAGAAUAAUGAGAAAAUAUUAAUGAACUAUACAUCUGUAAAGAAUUAUUAUCCAGAAUAUAUUAGGAGCUCAUGAAACUUAGCAGCAACAACAAAACAAUGAAUCUAGUUAAGAAAUGGGCUAAGGAUAUGAACAGGCAUUUUUCAAAGGAUAAAAUACAUAUGACCAAUAGACACAUGAAAAAAUGUUCAGGAUCACUAGCCAUCAGGGAAAUGCAAAUGAAAACCACAAUGAGGUUUCACCUCAUCCCAGUUAGAAUGGCUAUCAUCCAAAAAUCCAAAAUUAACAAAUACUGGUAAGGAUAUGGAGAAAAAGGUACCUUAAUACACUGUUGGUGGGAAUGUAAACUAGUGCCACCAUAAUGAAAGACAGUGUGGAGAUUCCUCAGGAAUCUGAAAAUCUACCAGAUGAUCCAUCCACCCCCUCCUGAAAUCAGCAUAUGAAAGAGUUAUCUGUACCCUCAUGUUUAUAGCAGCUCAAUUCACAAUAGAGCAACCCAGAUGUCCAUCAAAUGAUGACUGGAUGAAGAAAAAUGUGGUAUUUAUAUAUGAUGGAAUAAUAAAAAAUAAUUAAAUCCUGUUUCUUGCAAAAAAAUGGAUGCAAUUGGAGACCAUUAUGCUUAGUGUAAAAAGACAAAUAUCAUACAUUUUUGUUGAUUUGUGGUAACUAAUACAUGAAGUACUAAGAAAAGUAAUGUGUGUGAGUAUAAUUCAUAUUUUGAGAUGCUAUUAUUUUUUCUAACCCUUGUCUAUAUUCCUGAGGAACAGUGGUCUUUCUACUUAAUACUCAUUGAAGCCUUAAUUUAGUGGAGAAUUAAGCUUGUGAUUAUAAACUAAAAUUAUGCCAUCACAAAAAUUAAAUAUAAGGGUGUCAGCAUUGUGGUAUAAUGGGUUAAGCUGCUGCCUGCAAUGCCAGUUUGAGCCCUGGCUGCUCCAUUUCCCAUCCAGCUCCCUGCUGAUGUCCUUGGGAAAGCAACAGAGGAUGGCCCAAGUGUUUGGGUCCCUGCACCCAUGUGAGAGAACAGGAUGAAGCUCCUGGAUCCUGGCUUUGGCUUGGCUCAGCACUAACCAUUGUGGCCACCUAAGGAGUGAACCAACAGAUGGAAGAUCUUUCUUUCUCUCUCCGUCUCUGUCUCUGUCUCUCUCUUGGUAACUCUACAUUUUGAAUAAGUAAAAUAAAAUGAAAUAAAGAAAAACAAGAAAGGAAGGAGGAGGUAGGGUGAGAAUAUGGGCGGGAGGGAGGAUGGAAGGCAUCAUUAUGUUCUUAAAACUGUAUUUAUGAAAUGCAUGAGAUCUCUUGUCUUUAUAUGAAUAAAUAAAAACAUUAAAAAAUCCAUAAAAAGAAAAAAGAAUAAAAAAAGGUUAUAACCAGAGAGAAUUAAGGUAAAAUUAAGUACAUAGACAUUGGUUUAAUGCUCCUUAUUUCCAAAUAGACACAGUUUUUUUAAAGUGAUGAUUAUUGUAUAGCAUUCAGACUCAAACUUUUUGCUUAGAUUUCAUGUAAUUUUUCCUAUUUGGAUAUAGAAUUACUACAUUUGAAGAAUGACUCCCACUGCAUAAAUUGUUUGUUAAUCCAUUAUAAUUGCCAUCUCAUCUUCCCAGAGAAAUUUUACCUCUGCUUUCCUCUUGAGAACUUAUUAAUACUGAUAACACUAAAGAAUCAUUUAAAAUAGAAUGUUUAGUGUAUGCUGCUAUAUUUAAUCUAUCCUGAGUUGAGUUUUUACAGGGUGAUAAGGACAAUUAUUAUACUCCCAGGAGGCUUAAUUUUUUUUCGCUCCCAUACAGCAUCAAUCACAGAACUUUGCUUAUAACAUUUAAUAGUUAAUGAUCCUGAUGGUAAAUAGGAAGGAGCAACCUGGCACAUGUAAUGCACAAAAGAGGUUGAUAGUUCAUAUCACUGAGCUUAUUAAACAAAAGACAAAGCUGAACAUGCCUACUUGAGGGAAUCUUUCUGCCCAGGCAGAGUUUGUGUUAGCCUGUAUUGUUUCCCUAAAGUGUAUGCUCCCCACCUAGGCUCAUAGUUUUGCCCAUCCAGACUUUGACACUGCUUAUUGGGAUUGUAAUUAUGUUAGUUUGCUUGAAACUCAGGCACUCUGGCAUGGGAUGUAGCAACCCAACUGGCAUUGUGAUCCCUAGGCCAAAUGCUGAUUGCUGUAGUACCAAGGGUUUUGAGGCCCCAAAUUAAAAUGUAUUUCAACCCGUUAGUUGUAUGUCAAGCAAAAAUUAUCCUGUAGCAUAUGAGACAUGUAAAUGAAGGGAAAAAGUUUAUUCCUUGUGCCUUUCAGUCUAUUGUACAUACCUUACUUGGACAACAUGAGAUUUGACAUACUGUCUUCUCAGUUUAGAUCCAUGAAAUGUUUCAUUCAUCUGUUAAAAAGUAAAAUUGAAAGUGUCUUAUGUUUAAUUUUUUCUCAUUUUAAAUUUUCAUUUUGGAAAACUUCAAAUAUAUAUAGUAGCAUAAAGAAUAGUAACAUGCAUCCAUUACUCAGCUUGAGUAAUUAUCAAUAGAUUCCCUUUUGCUCCUCUCUGUCUCACAGGAAUUAAAUGAUUCCUUAACAUCAUCCAAUUUACAGUCUUAAGCUUUCCCAGGUCAAGGGGAAUAGCAUGAUAGAAUAUUCAAGGGAUCACUGAGUUUGUUUUUCUUCUAUGUGUAACCUUUUAUUGAAUAUAAAUGCCAUGAAACCUAAUAGAAAUGUUCCCUGAAUGAGAAGUUUUUGUACUAUAUUUUUGUACUAUGUCAGGCUUCUUUAAUGCUUGUACUGCAAAUCUAAUUUUCGCAUGUUUUCAAUUACAUGCUUUUGUAAAUUUAAAAGUGGGGGGUACAUGGAAAUCUUACGGAGAAAUUUUUUGUAACAAUCAGUUUUUCAGCUGCACCCCUGACUGCCUAACCUAACAGAUGAUUUCCUAUAGUUGGGCCUUUACACAUCUCUAGUCAAUCAGUUUUGUUCUUGUUGCUUUUACUCAGGCAGAGACAGGCUUUAUAAACAAUGACUUAUUGUUGGAAUUGAGAAGAGUUCAUUUAUGCUUUUUCCUUAUCCAAAGGAAUUGGAAUGUGCUUAUUUAGUCAGUAAAUACCUUUUGAAGUACAACUAUGAACAAGAUUUAUUGAGUCAUACUUCCUUAGUGGUUUAAUGAAGAAAACAGAUAACAGAGGAAGAAAUAACUAUAAAUAUGAUAAUGUGAAAUAUUAUUAAGUGAUAUAAAGAAUGUAAAAUAAUGAGAUGUAGUAUGUAAGUUCUCAAGUUAAGCCUCUUUGAAGAAUUGACAUUUGAAACCUGAAAGAUGUAAAAUUGACAAUUAAGAGAAGAUGGAGAGGAGUCCAACGUGGAAGUUCCUGGCGCAGCAGGCUUUCGUAGAAAACGCCUGGAAGCGGCAAAUGAAGGCCCAAGUGAGUGGAGGCGGCGCCGCCAAGGCUGGAAUAGAAGUCGCUGCUGAAGCUGGGGCCUCUCUCGAACGAUUGGGCGAGUACAGACAGGCGGUUCCUCAUAGGUGGCUUUUUCUCGAGUAUUUUUUCCAGUCUUUUUGGAACCCGGGAAUGAGGAUUUUAAUUUUGGGACCAGAUGGAGCAGGGAAAAAAACCACAAUUUUGUAUAGAUUACAGGUUGGAGAAGUCGUUACCACUAUUCCUACCACUGGACUUAAUGUAGAGACAGUGAUGUACAAAAACCUUAAAUUCUAAGUCCAGGAUUUAGGAGGACAGGCAAGUAUCAGGCCAUACUGGAGAUGUUACUAUUCAAAUACAGAUGCAGUCAUUUAUGCAGUGGACAGUUGUGACUGAGGCCGAAUUGGAAUUUCCAAAUCAGAAUUAGUUGCUAUGUUGGAGGAAGAAGAGCUGAGAAAAGCCAUUUUAGUGGUGUUUGCAAAGAAGCAGGACAUGGAGCAGGCCAUGACUCCCUCAGAGAUGGCAAAUUCACUUGGGUUACCUGCCUUAAAGGUUCGCAAGUGACAAAUAUUCAAAACAUCAGCAACCAAAGGCACUGGCCUGGAUGAGGCCAUGGAAUGGUUAGUUGAAACAUUAAAAAGGAGACAGUAAUUCAUUCACAGGAGGUCCUCUGAAAUGAAGGCUAUUUCAUCUAUCUCUGGAAACAGUCAAGUGUGCCUCACACUACUAAGUGUUGAUACUAAGUAUGAUUGUUGGCACACCCUGAAGUGACUGCGAUGUUUGUAAUAAACGUAAAAAAUAAUUAUUUGGUUGGAAGGGUAACUUGAUUGAAUCACUUGGAGUUCCAUAUAAUGUAAAAUAUUCUUUCCUUGCUUUCAUGUGUUAAAAUAUAUAUUCUGCUGUAUGGAAUUCUUAUUCAGAGACAGUCCCAUUAAAUACACUCUUAUUGGGGGAAAAAUCCUCCUAUUUUUGAAUUAGUGGUUGCAGCUUGUUUGUAUAAACACUAACAAAUAAACUCAGAUUUUUCCCCCUUAAAAGGAAUUAAGUCAACCUAAAAAUGAUAGAUUAAGUAGGCUUGGGACAUAGGAUGUAUUAUAGUCUUCAUUUGCUUAACUGACGACUUGAAGCUGUUUUGUUUAAAAGCUUUUGAUUAUGGGCAUGAAUAUUAUUUUGGUGGUGGACUUAUCUGUAAUUGUCAUUUUAUAGUACUUUAUAGUUAGAAAAGUUCACCCACAUUGACCUUUUGGAUUUGUACAGGAACACUGGGAAGCAGGUGGGAUGGGUUGCAUUGUCUUCAGUGUGUGGAUGUGGACCCAGGGUUCUGAUAGGUUGGCUUGUUCAAGGCCACCUGCUAGUAAGUUGAGAAUAGGGCUUUAAGCAAGACUUUUAAGUCAGAAACUUGGGUCAUAAAGUAUAGUACAUAGUCCUAAAAAUAUCAACAUUGACAAAACAACCUAACUCUUAAAAUUAUGCUAAAGUAAUCACAGUAUAUUCUAAACAAUGUCUACAUUACUUGUCCAUACUAGCGGAAGUGAUGCAUAUUAAAGCAGAAAAUUCAUAUUAAAGGAAAUGUUUUAAAAAUCUAUUUUAAGCAGCAUUUUAAAAGAUGCCUUUACUGUAUUUCAUUCCUUUUACCUGUGAUUGGACAUGUAAAUUUGGUUAAAAGUCAAAAUCUUACUGGUUCUAUAGGAGAAAAUUACACAUUCUUGGUUUUCAAGAUUGCUUUCGGGGCUGGCAUUGUGGUGCAGCUGGUUAAGCCUCUGCCUCCAAUGCCAGCAUCCCGUAUGGGCACUGGUUCAAGUCCUAACUGUUUCACUUUUGAUCCAGUUCCCUGCUGAUAAGCCUGGGAAAGCAGUGGAACCUGCCACCCACAUGGGAGACCUGGAUAAAUUUUCCUUGCUAUUGGCUUCUACCUGACCCAGCCCUGGCCAUCUGGUGAUAAACCAGCGGAUGGAAGCUCUCUCACUCUCUGUUUCUCCCUCAAACUGUAAUUUUUCCUUUCAAAUUUGUUUUUCAAAUUAGGCCUUCUGCUAGGCUAUGAGUUUAAAAAGCAAUUUAUGUGUUAAGGAACUUUCCAAACUACCAAGUCCACUCCAUUGCAGGAUCAGCAAUGUGACAAGAGUAAAUACAGUUAUGAGUAAUUACUGAAGGGGGCUAAGUUUUUUUCUUUUUCAUUCUGGACAACCAGCAUUUCAAAAAUCAAUGCUGGUAAAGAGAAUAAUUGCGUUGAGCCCCCCAAACCUCAGGAACACUAGUAGUUCAUUUCCUGGCUCUCACUGUCCUUGCAGAUGGGGCAUUCUCUCUGCUCAUAUGAAAGCAGUUUUCUCUUUUCAUCUGUGGGAUUUUAAGAAAACUCCUUGCCCAAUCCCCAGCACCCAUUCCUGAUUUGGUCUCCCCCCGCCGUGGGCACUAGAAUUUUCAGUACAACUACUACUACUCUUGAUUUCAGAGACUUUCUCAUUGUGUCAUCAGUGUCCGGAAUAGUAUAGUGCCUGGCACAUUGGGGCAUUUAAGGAUGUGUUCACAACUGACAGGAUGUGUAUUUGUCAGCCUGAAAGAUAGUACCCCUACAAUUUAUACUUGCAUUCCUUCUAGUCAAUGGCACAGGCUAGGACAAGCUAGAUCAAGAAAACAAGCUCACUUAUGAGCAACAAAGUAGCUACUCCCUAGCAAUUCAGGAGCACUGAAAAAUCUCAAGUAUAGGGAAGUAAGGACUUGGCAGGCAGGCAGAUGCACUCCCUGAAGGCACACGGUUCUUGCUCUCUUGAAUUGUGAUGGCAUGCAGCUGUCCCAGAUGUCAGGACUUUGGUGAUCCUGAUCCCUCUGCUUUGUCACAAAGUAUUGGAUGGGAUAGCAUGUACAUUUAUUUAAUGGAGUUUAGAUUAUAAGGUCUUUGUCUAGCAGAAAACAGCUGCAUAAGUAGGUUACCAGGAUCUGAAUGCUGAUAUUUAACAAAAGCAAGACCAAAAGAAAAUCUGAAUGCUAUUUUGUGAGAAGACUGAAAAUGGGAAAGGCACCGAACUUGGUAUUAGAACAUGAAUUCUGGGUUUAAAUGCUCACCACUUCAGCUUCUUUUCUAUAAAACAAGACCUGGACAAAUGAUACCAAAGUUUUUGUUGAGUGAGCUCUAACAUUUUAUAACUCUGGUUGGUAGCUGUACUGUGUUAUGUGAUUCUGCUAUAAAGGGGAAGUGGCAGAAUUGCCAUCUGAAUACCUGAGAUGCACUUUAACUGUGGAAAUGUAAACUGUGAGGGCAGGGACCAUCUUAUUUACUGUUAGUGUCCCUGGCAUCUAAUGUGGUGUACCUGGCACAAAGUAAAUCAAUAAAUAUGAAUUAAAAAAAUGAGAAAAAGAAGAAGAAACAAGUAAGAAUAUUAGGUAAGAAUGAGAUUUAUAUAUUUGAAGGAGAAAAAUAAAGCUAUGAUCCAAGUAAAGUAAGCAAGGGAGAAAGUGCAUAAGUUAAAGUUUUCCAAGUAGGGAGGGGUAAGAUUAGAGGGCUUGCAUAAAAUGAUAAGAAGUGUAGAUCUUAUUUCUAAAUAGAGUGCAUGGAGGGGGUUUCUGGAAAGAUGAUGAGUAAAUUGUACCAUAUUUUUCUUCCAUUCGCAAUUCCAAUGUAUCUGCUUAACCUGGAGUCACAUAGAUCAGACAUUAUAGGAGUCAGGGAAGCAAGGAAGUGAUGAGGAACUUUCUCUCCAAUGGAUCAGGCAAGAACCUAGAGAUUUGUCUGAGAAUCUUGUGCAAAUAAAUAAUUACAUGGGGCCUUUGGAAUAGCUUUUUGUGAAUAACCAGAAUAAAAUUGACAUGAACUUAGAUGAGUGAGUUUCUGUGGCCCUACAGAGGCCAAAAAGGAUUUGGAAAGGAGGAAGAGGAUGAAGUUUCAUUUCUUCUGAGGUUGGGCUAAUGCAGUGGAUUGAAAAUAGGAAGCCAGAAGAAAUUUUCUGAGGUUUUAGUAUGGAGAAACAGAAUGCCUGCUGCCUGACUUUCAGCCUAUAAGACUUAAGAACAUCUUGCCUUCCAUCAUGUGAGUCCAUAGACAAGUGGCCCAAAUAAGCCCAUAAAAAAUUGAUAAUACAAAUAAAGGAGCAUACCAGGCAGAUCCAAAGAGAACUUCAGGAGGAAACAGAUACCAACUCAAAAAACAAUGUCAAACAAGCACACAAGAAUUUUCAGAAACAGCACCCCCUACCCCUAAAAAAGACUAUUUGGUGCUGAAACAUAAUUUUAAAGCCUAAAAAUUCAAUAUGUCAGAUUGAUUUAAAAAACAUCCUGCUAAUUUUUAAAAUUUUGAGAGGCACACACACAUACACACACACACAGAGGGAGAGAAAAAUCAAGCGAGCUUUUGUUUGCUGAUUCCCUCCACAAAUGCUUGUAAUAGCCAGGGCUGGGCCGGGACAAAGCUAGAAGUCCAGAAUUCAAUCCAGGUCUCCCACAUGGGUAGCAAGGACUCAAGUACUUGAGCCAUAAUUACCUGCUGUCUUCCAGGGUACACAUUAGCAGGAAGCUGGAAUCAAGAGCUGAGGCUGGACUUGAACCCAGGCGCUCCAUCAUGGGCUAUGGUCAUUCCAAGCAGCAUCUUAACUAGGCCAAACAUCUGCCCUGUCAGAUUGAUUUAAUUGGGUGAUGUAAUCAAGAUGGCUGACUAGAGGAGCCUGGAGCACUUCUCUCCAUAAGAAAUGACCAAAAAUAAAGAAAAAAGGCCAGGUAUUUCUUCAGAAUAUUUGAGGAAAAGCUGCAAAGUAUAGUGAGAAUGUGACAGUUACAUCUUAGAACAUGGAGAUAUAUAACCUUGUAAAAAAAGAGAACUAAGUACAUGGCAUUUACUUUUCUGUUUCUCAAAGUCAAUCCUGAACCAAGAAUGACUUUGCUGGGCAGGGAAUAGGUAGGCAAGAGACCCCUGCUGUCUUAACUCAUCCAUGAAUAUCUGAAGCAUUUGCUGAUGGAGAAUCCUGCAGACUUCACAAGCCCUGAGCCAUUUGGAAAGCCACUAGGUCACCUCACUGCUGCAUUGCCCUGGAGGAAGAGCUCACCUUAUGUUGUGUAACCCCCCACUGAUGAUCCCACUGCACAAUGCCAUCUGGAGAGCCCCCCACUCACCCAGUGAAAUUUCUUGGCAUAUUUAACAUACAAAAUUGAACUGUGCAGACCUGGAAAAAUUUAGAAGGCCAAAAACAAGUAAUGAGUCAGUACUAAAAAGUCUCCCAACAAAGAAAAGCCAAGAUUGGAUGGCUACAUUGAUACAUGGCUACAUAACCAAACCUUUUAAAAAAACUGUCUUUCUUUAAUAGAGAGAAGACAGAUUCAUUCUCUCUCUCUCUCUCUCUCUCUCUCACACACACACACACACACACACACAGCUUUUAUCUGUAGGUUCAUACCCUAAAUGCCAUAAUAACCUGGAUUAGGCUGGGCUGGGGUUGAGAGUUUGGAUCUCAAUCCAGGUCUCCCAUCUGAGUGGCAGAGACCUACCUACUUGAGCUAUCACCAUCUGCCUCCCAGAAUCUUCAGCAAAAGCAAAAAUUAGAAAAUUUUUCAAACUUAGAAGCUUCUGUACAUGAAAGGAAAUGAUCAAGAGUGGAAAUAUAACCUUACAGAAUGGGAGAAAAUAUUUCAAACCAUUCAUCUCACAAAUGAUUAAUAUCUAGAAUAUAUAACUGACUCACGAAUCCAACAGCAGAAAAAAAAAAAAAACCAAGAAC
Molecule: non-coding RNA, 13251 nt
Organism: Oryctolagus cuniculus (rabbit)
Lineage: Eukaryota; Metazoa; Chordata; Mammalia; Lagomorpha; Leporidae
Source: RefSeq, a predicted model, not a curated record